CAAUAAUAAUAUGUCAAAAGGGGAAUAAUUCAAUUUUCGCUUUUGUAAUUAUUUUAGAAGAAAGUUAAGUUAUUUCCCAUUACAUUGCUAGCAGUGUUACCUUCUAUGGCGGAAUCUGAGAAACUAAAGAAUAUUAUUUUUCGUUGUUUUGUGUGCAUUACAUACUUUCAUGAUAUUGAGUUUUUGGAUAGACUGCUUAAAUAUCUAAUGAAAAAAGUACCUAAAAAAAGUUAAGCAUUGUUUAGUUAAAUGUACACUGUAUAUUGGCCUCAAAGGUUGUGUAUGUUUAUUGACAUGUAAAUUUGAAAUAAAUGUUCAUGUUUUUUGCA
Molecule: long non-coding RNA, 329 nt
Organism: Saccostrea cuccullata (small rock oyster)
Lineage: Eukaryota; Metazoa; Mollusca; Bivalvia; Ostreida; Ostreidae
Exons: 2
Source: RefSeq, a predicted model, not a curated record